This 201-nucleotide long non-coding RNA is filed under the name Vigna radiata. RNAcentral describes it as "long non-coding RNA (VRAD_LNC001568)". Lineage: Eukaryota; Viridiplantae; Streptophyta; Magnoliopsida; Fabales; Fabaceae. The record is from RNAcentral.
GCCGGGACAUGUCUCCUGUGUAAGGCUGCUUUCAGCUCAUUCCAAUAUUGAAUUGUGUAGUCGCCAUGCAUCCUUUGGUCUCUCAUGAUGGAUGUCCACCAAUAAAGGGCUGAACCUUGAAAGGUCAAGGUGGCUAGGGUCACUCUCCUCCUAUCAUCUAUGUUGUAGCACUCAAAAAUUUAUUCAACCUUCAUCUCCCAC